Non-coding RNA from Desarmillaria tabescens, 91 nucleotides. The record is from the annotation of a RefSeq genome assembly. NCBI's taxonomy places the organism in Eukaryota, Fungi, Basidiomycota, Agaricomycetes, Agaricales, Physalacriaceae.
GGGGGCAUAGCUCAGUUGGGAGAGCGACAGACUGAAGUUGGUUACGCACCAGGUUUUCUGGAGGUCCCCAGUUCAAUCCUGGGUGCCCCCA